Pogoniulus pusillus (Red-fronted tinkerbird) is the source of this 1128-nucleotide long non-coding RNA. RefSeq lists it as uncharacterized. Lineage: Eukaryota; Metazoa; Chordata; Aves; Piciformes; Lybiidae. The transcript has 4 exons. The record is from RefSeq and is a predicted model, not a curated record.
CUGCUCCCUCAGAAUAUUAUAAAGAGGAAUAGAAACAGGAACAUAGAGGAAGCCAGCGUGCCUGAACAAGGUGAUAGGUCCAGGCUCCCUGGUCUCUCCUAUACAAGUAGGGGACUGAAAAGGUGACUAUUCAGAAGAUUGAGCUGAUAGGAAGGAGAUAGUAGCUCCAUCUAUCAGUCAUAUGUGAGCUCCAGAACUUGUGAUGUCUUGGUCCUUAGCCCCAGGGCUUAAGAAGACAAUGCUUCUUAUCCUAUCCAAGUAAAAUGAUGAAUGUGUGAAGAAUCGCAGUUGCCCAUGCAUAAUAGGAACUUGAAGUUCCUGCUUCUCCAAUCAAUGCAGCAGUGUGAUAAUUGAAGUUGCUUGCUCUGGCUUUUGGUUGCAUCUGAGUUCUGGACACUUGCACCUCCUGUGGACCUCCUUGUGUCUCUUCAUCAUUGCUGCUGGUGAGGAUCAGAGAAGGCACAUAUCUCACUGAAUGUAAGGACAAGGAGCAAGGUUACUGCAGGAAUACUUUCUGAAGAUCUUCUAAACCAGGUCUGCUGGCCUAAAAAGACCACUCUUGCAGAAGACAUGCAGGAUACCAAGGAUUAUUUGGACUGCUACUGGCACAACACAUCAUCUGUACUGAAAUGUCUGUAAGUCCUGGAAAGGCCAGAGUUCUCAUGGCUGGUGCAAAAGAAGCUUGGAGUUCAGAUGGAGAUGCAGAUACCGCAAAAGAAAAACUGCACAGCUACAACAGUUUUUGAGGGUUUGAAUCACAGAAUGAAGACUUCCAGAACACGCAGUGGAGGCAAACAGACCAUUCUACUCAGUGGAAGUAGGAAGGCUGAAAAGGGUAAAACCAGGACAUAUUUCCCAUGAUCACACUCUGCAGUCAGAUGACUAUGUGACGAAAGCAAGAAAAUGAUUACCUAAAGUUUGAAGCAGAAAAGAUAGAUCUAAGCUGAGAUGAUGGUGAGAGGCUUCCAUACACUUAGGAAGAAUUUAGCCUUUCAAUUAGGGAAAAAUCUUCACAACAGUAUAUUAGAGAUGGCCUUACUGAUACAAUGGGUAUUCAGAAGACCACAAAGUGCUUUAAUUCUAUGACUGGAUGUGUUGAAUAACAAAAAAGCUACUUUAAAAUACUAA